UACCCAUAAUAUAUUUGAUAAGGCAUCUUAUUAAUAUUAAAGCUUCGGCACUUGAUGAUGGGUGUGCGGCUGAUUAGAUAGUUGGCGGGUAACGGCCCACCGAGUCUACGAUCAGUAGCUGAUGUGAGAGCAUGAUCAGCCACACGGGCACUGAGACACGGGCCCGACUCCUACGGGAGGCAGCAGUAAGGAAUAUUGGACAAUGGACGAAAGUCUGAUCCAGCCAUGCCGCGUGAAGGAUUAAGGUCCUCUGGAUUGUAAACUUCUUUUAUAUGGGACGAAAAAAGGGCAUUCUUGUUCACUUGACGGUACCAUAUGAAUAAACACCGGCUAACUCCGUG
RNAcentral lists this ribosomal RNA (341 nucleotides) under uncultured bacterium. RNAcentral's name for it is "bacterial SSU rRNA". It matches the Rfam family "Bacterial small subunit ribosomal RNA", at positions 168 to 507 of the family's 1533-position model. The record is from RNAcentral.